Molecule: non-coding RNA, 464 nt
Organism: Musa acuminata subsp. malaccensis (wild Malaysian banana)
Lineage: Eukaryota; Viridiplantae; Streptophyta; Magnoliopsida; Zingiberales; Musaceae
Source: RefSeq, a predicted model, not a curated record
AGUCUCGUCUUCCCUCUGAUCUCUGCUCGCGGAGGCUCGACUCGUGAUCGCGAGAGCGGAAACCGAGGGCCGGUUGGUAAGAUCUGCCCCCAUGGAUGAGCAAAUCUCUGAUGCAGCUGGAGAUGUGAUCAAGGAGGAAACAAGUCGAGGGUUGAACCCAGGGUUGGUGGUCUUGCUUGUUGUGGGAGGACUUAUACUGCUCUUCCUCCUCGGAAACUAUGCGCUCUAUAUGUAUGCACAGAAGACCCUUCCGCCAAGAAGGAAGAAGCCAAUCUCAAAAAAGAAGUCGAAGAGGGAAAGGCUCAAACGAGGGGUGUCUGCACCUGGAGAGUAAACAUACACAGUAGCCAACGAAGAAAAAGAAGAUAUUGAUGAUGAACACUUUAUUUCGUAGAUUUUGUUUAUUGACGAAUUGGCUAACUGGUUUAUACUAAACUUGAUCGAUUCUCAGACCAGAAUUGCUA